GCCCGGAUGGCGAAAUAGGUAGACGCAAGGGACUUAAAAUCCCUCGGCCACAAGCCGUGCCGGUUCGAACCCGGCUCCGGGUACCA
This 86-nucleotide transfer RNA is filed under the name Ahniella sp. RNAcentral's name for it is "tRNA-Leu". It matches the Rfam family "tRNA". Rfam says of the family: Transfer RNA (tRNA) molecules are approximately 80 nucleotides in length. Lineage: Bacteria; Pseudomonadati; Pseudomonadota; Gammaproteobacteria; Lysobacterales; Rhodanobacteraceae. The record is from RNAcentral.